Molecule: long non-coding RNA, 342 nt
Filed under: Erythranthe guttata (spotted monkey flower)
Lineage: Eukaryota; Viridiplantae; Streptophyta; Magnoliopsida; Lamiales; Phrymaceae
Description: long non-coding RNA (EGUT_LNC001052)
Source: RNAcentral
AAUAACUUAAGACCUCGUUCGGUUAGUAAGAUUAGCCAUAUUUAAUCAAAUUAUUGGACACCUAUUGGCUAAUCUUAUCUUAGAAGCCAAACGAGGCCUAAAUGAAUUAAUAUGAUUUGCCAAAUAUAUUUACAAAAUUUUGAUUUUAUUCAAUGAUGCAGGGGAUAGAAGGAUUCAGAGAAGAAAUAGUGAAAAGAAUGCCACAAUUAAGUUUAGAGAGAGCUUCUUCGGAAGACCUCGUCGACGCCCAAUGGGAGAGGAGAGACUAUUUCGGAGCUCACCCACAGAAGCAAGAGGGCCUUAGCUUCGUAGGUAUCCACAUUCCAGUUGGGCGGAUCCAGG